Molecule: ribosomal RNA, 483 nt
Filed under: uncultured bacterium
Lineage: Bacteria
Description: bacterial SSU rRNA
Rfam family: Bacterial small subunit ribosomal RNA
Source: RNAcentral
AUUGAACGCUGGCGGCAUGCUUUACACAUGCAAGUCGAGCGGCAGCGCGGGGGCAACCCUGGCGGCGAGCGGCGAACGGGUGAGUAAUGCAUCGGAACGUACCCUGGAGUGGGGGAUAACGCCGCGAAAGCGGCGCUAAUACCGCAUAUGCUCUGAGGAGGAAAGUGGGGACCGCAAGGCCUCACGCUCUGGGAGCGGCCGAUGUCCGAUUAGCUAGUUGGUGAGGUAAAGGCUUACCAAGGCGACGAUCGGUAGCUGGUCUGAGAGGAUGAUCAGCCACACUGGGACUGAGACACGGCCCAGACUCCUACGGGAGGCAGCAGUGGGGAAUUUUGGACAAUGGGCGAAAGCCUGAUCCAGCCAUGCCGCGUGUCUGAAGAAGGCCCUUCGGGUUGUAAAGGACUUUUGUUCAGGGAGCAAAACUUACUGGUUAAUACCGUGAGGCUGAGAGUACCUGAAGAAUAAGCACCGGCUAACUACGUG